Acanthosepion pharaonis is the source of this 101-nucleotide non-coding RNA. The record is from the annotation of a GenBank genome assembly. Lineage: Eukaryota; Metazoa; Mollusca; Cephalopoda; Sepiida; Sepiidae.
ACAUUGAAACGCCAGUUCUUGUAUGAUCACUGAAGUUAAGCAUUGUUGGGCCUGGUAAGUAUCUAGAUGGGUGACCGCUAGGGAAUACCAUGUGCUGUAAG